This is a non-coding RNA of Homo sapiens (human), 155 nucleotides long. It matches the Rfam family "Metazoan signal recognition particle RNA". From Rfam's summary of the family: The signal recognition particle (SRP) is a universally conserved ribonucleoprotein. It is involved in the co-translational targeting of proteins to membranes. The record is from Rfam. NCBI's taxonomy places the organism in Eukaryota, Metazoa, Chordata, Mammalia, Primates, Hominidae.
GCCGGGCAUGGUGGCGCAUGCCUGUAAUCCCAGCUACUCGGGAGGCUGAGGCAGGAGAAUCGCUUGAACCUAGGAGGCAGAGGUUGCAGUGAGCUGAGAUUGUGCCACUGCACUCUAGCCUGGGUCCUGGGUGACAGAGCGAGACUCUGUCUUAA